This 133-nucleotide ribosomal RNA is filed under the name Haemophilus influenzae. RNAcentral's name for it is "partial 16S ribosomal RNA". It matches the Rfam family "Bacterial small subunit ribosomal RNA", at positions 1408 to 1533 of the family's 1533-position model. Lineage: Bacteria; Pseudomonadati; Pseudomonadota; Gammaproteobacteria; Pasteurellales; Pasteurellaceae. The record is from RNAcentral.
GAGUGGGUUGUACCAGAAGUAGAUAGCUUAACCUUUUGGAGGGCGUUUACCACGGUAUGAUUCAUGACUGGGGUGAAGUCGUAACAAGGUAACCGUAGGGGAACCUGCGGUUGGAUCACCUCCUUACCAAAGA